UGUGUGGCGGAAUUGGUAGACGCGCUGGACUCAAAAUCCAGUGGUAGCAAUAUCGUGUGGGUUCGAGUCCCACCACA
This 77-nucleotide transfer RNA is filed under the name chicken gut metagenome. It matches the Rfam family "tRNA". Rfam says of the family: Transfer RNA (tRNA) molecules are approximately 80 nucleotides in length. The record is from RNAcentral.